This is a long non-coding RNA of Peromyscus eremicus (cactus mouse), 304 nucleotides long. RefSeq lists it as uncharacterized. Lineage: Eukaryota; Metazoa; Chordata; Mammalia; Rodentia; Cricetidae. The record is from RefSeq and is a predicted model, not a curated record. The transcript has 3 exons.
AGCAUGAAACCAUCUGUGUUGAAGAUUCAAAAGUAGGGUUCCUACAGACCCUGAGCAAAACAGAGUGGACUCCAGCCUGCGUGAAUGAGCUUGAAACAGGAAUGCUUUGGGGUUCAGGCAUCUUACACUGAAUUUCUCUACUAUCACCCUUUCUACUCAAGCAAAAUCGUCAAGGAAAGGUCUGCUGGGAAGGAGGCAACUGCCUGUGGCUUUGCACUGUGAUGAAGGCAAAUGGUACAGUUUUCCAAAGAAAUUAGACCAAAACUUUCUUCUUGAGAAGAAACCAACCUGCUGUUGGCAGAGG